AUGUUUGAUGUUCUAACGUGGACCCGUGAUCCGGGUUGCGGACAGUGUCUGGUGGGUAGUUUGACUGGGGCGGUCUCCUCCUAAAGAGUAACGGAGGAGCACGAAGGUUGGCUAAUCCUGGUCGGACAUCAGGAGGUUAGUGCAAUGGCAUAAGCCAGCUUGACUGCGAGCGUGACGGCGCGAGCAGGUGCGAAAGCAGGUCAUAGUGAUCCGGUGGUUCUGAAUGGAAGGGCCAUCGCUCAACGGAUAAAAGGUACUCCGGGGAUAACAGGCUGAUACCGCCCAAGAGUUCAUAUCGACGGCGGUGUUUGGCACCUCGAUGUCGGCUCAUCACAUCCUGGGGCUGAAGUAGGUCCCAAGGGUAUGGCUGUUCGCCAUUUAAAGUGGUACGCGAGCUGGGUUUAGAACGUCGUGAGACAGUUCGGUCCCUAUCUGCCGUGGGCGCUGGAGAACUGAGGGGGGCUGCUCCUAGUACGAGAGGACCGGAGUGGACGCAUCACUGGUGUUCGGGUUGUCAUGCCAAUGGCACUGCCCGGUAGCUAAAUGCGGAAGAGAUAAGUGCUGAAAGCAUCUAAGCACGAAACUUGCC
This 589-nucleotide ribosomal RNA is filed under the name Escherichia coli. Its description in RNAcentral is "partial 23S ribosomal RNA". It matches the Rfam family "Bacterial large subunit ribosomal RNA", at positions 2210 to 2798 of the family's 2925-position model. The record is from RNAcentral. Lineage: Bacteria; Pseudomonadati; Pseudomonadota; Gammaproteobacteria; Enterobacterales; Enterobacteriaceae.